RNAcentral lists this ribosomal RNA (253 nucleotides) under uncultured bacterium. Its description in RNAcentral is "partial 16S ribosomal RNA". It matches the Rfam family "Bacterial small subunit ribosomal RNA", at positions 524 to 776 of the family's 1533-position model. The record is from RNAcentral.
UACGUAGGGGGCAAGCGUUGUCCGGAAUUACUGGGCGUAAAGCGUGCGCAGGCGGUUAUGCAAGACAGAUGUGAAAUCCCCGGGCUCAACCUGGGAACUGCAUUUGUGACUGCAUGGCUAGAGUACGGUAGAGGGGGAUGGAAUUCCGCGUGUAGCAGUGAAAUGCGUAGAUAUGCGGAGGAACACCGAUGGCGAAGGCAAUCCCCUGGACCUGUACUGACGCUCAUGCACGAAAGCGUGGGGAGCAAACAGG